AACGCACAUUGCGCCCCUCGGUAUUCCGUGGGGCAUGCCUGUUCGAGCGUCAUUUACACCCUCAAGCUCUGCUUGGUGUUGGGCGUCUGUCCCGCGUUACCGCGUGGACUCGCCCCAAAGUCAUUGGCAGCAGCCUUGCCAGCCCCUCGCGCAGCAAAUUGCGUCUUGGUGGUCGGCGGCGCGGCGUCCAUGAAGCUAUUUUACUUGACUUGACCUCGGAUCAGGUAGGGAUACCCGCUGAACUUAA
This 247-nucleotide unclassified non-coding RNA is filed under the name uncultured fungus. Its description in RNAcentral is "partial contains 5.8S ribosomal RNA, internal transcribed spacer 2, and large subunit ribosomal RNA". The record is from RNAcentral. Lineage: Eukaryota; Fungi.